UUCUUGCUGGAGUCCGGUUGUCU
This 23-nucleotide microRNA is filed under the name Canis lupus familiaris (dog). RNAcentral's name for it is "cfa-miR-8837". Lineage: Eukaryota; Metazoa; Chordata; Mammalia; Carnivora; Canidae. The record is from miRBase by way of RNAcentral.